Molecule: ribosomal RNA, 492 nt
Filed under: uncultured bacterium
Lineage: Bacteria
Description: partial 16S ribosomal RNA
Rfam family: Bacterial small subunit ribosomal RNA
Source: RNAcentral
AGUGAACGCUGGCGGUAGGCCUAACACAUGCAAGUCGAACGGCAGCACAGUAAGAGCUUGCUCUUACGGGUGGCGAGUGGCGGACGGGUGAGGAAUACAUCGGAAUCUACUUUUUCGUGGGGGAUAACGUAGGGAAACUUACGCUAAUACCGCAUACGACCUACGGGUGGAAGCAUGGGAUCUUCGGACCUUGCGCGAUUGAAUGAGCCGAUGUCGGAUUAGCUAGUUGGCGGGGUAAAGGCCCACCAAGGCGACGAUCCGUAGCUGGUCUGAGAGGAUGAUCAGCCACACUGGAACUGAGACACGGUCCAGACUCCUACGGGAGGCAGCAGUGGGGAAUAUUGGACAAUGGGCGCAAGCCUGAUCCAGCAAUACCGCGUGGGUGAAGAAGGCCUUCGGGUUGUAAAGCCCUUUUGUUGGGAAAGAAAAGCAGCAGGUUAAUACCCCGAUGUUCUGACGGUACCCAAAGAAUAAGCACCGGCUAACUUCGUG